Molecule: RNA transcript, 450 nt
Organism: Tribolium castaneum (red flour beetle)
Lineage: Eukaryota; Metazoa; Arthropoda; Insecta; Coleoptera; Tenebrionidae
Exons: 2
Source: RefSeq, a predicted model, not a curated record
AAAAUGAAGGAUGGCUGUAUAAUGAGUCCGUUGCAGAAAAGUGUAUUCAGGAAUUUAGAAAUGAGUUUCCUGGGGCCACUUUUAGCGAUGACAUGUUACGAGAAUACGUGCCCCAAUUGGUUGAUCGGCUUCGAGCAACUGGUAGUAUUAGAGAACCGGAAUUACCCAACUUGGAAAUUUUUCUAACCCCCGAAAAAGUACAACAAAUUAGAGCUGUCCUCGAAAAGGACCCAAACAUGCCCCCGAGGAAAUUGUCUAAGGUCGUAGGCCUACCUGCGGCGACUUGUAAAGCGGUCAUGAAAAAACUGAAAAAAUAAAAGUAUAAUUAGUUUUGUAAGGUAAUCAAUAAUUAUCUAAAGUUUAAGUUUAACUAAUAAUGUAGUAACUGUUUUCUUUUCUACGUUUAUAAUUUUGUUGGAAGAAAUAAAAUCCUGUUCAUAUUUAAAUAAA